GAGCUCAAAAAUACUGUUUUAUUGAUGUCAAAUAUGAUGCUCAGAAGUGAUACACAAACAGAACAAAACUAAACUGGAGUAAACUCAGAACGCACAGGGAAAGACAGCAUAAGUGGGAAACCAACAUUAACAACUCGACGCUGAACACAGGACUGCAUGCUUCGGAGUCCUCCAAAUGCGGUCAACAAAUGCGCCCUUCAUUUCCCGAGAUUUGAAGGAUGGGUCCGGUGUAGAGUUCGUGACCCAAUCUAUCACACAAUACAUAGUGCUGUAGUGGGUGUGGAUAUUUUUCUCAGAACAAAAAAAACGGCGGAUGGCUGAAGCGGGGUGGACGAAGAGUAAACUUUUAAAACUUAUCACACAUUUGAUUUCAAUGUGUGACAACUGCAAGUGUCCAGAGUGAGGACAGACUGAGGGACCCACUGCUGCACAUCAUCUGUGAGGCUUUGCACCCCUGAUGAUCCACCAGGACAAACUCAGCAGUGUGUGAGGAAGAGGAGGAGGAAGAGCCAGCAGCAGCUGACAGAUGGAGAGAAUAGACAGACUGUUCCCUGUUUGUGAAGGACUGCUAGGAAAGUUUAACAUAACUAAUUGUCUGUCCUGAAUCAGUCUUAUUAGGUAAUGUUCAAAUAAUGUUAUCAUCCCAGUGUUUUCAGUGUGGGAGAAAGUACUCAGGGCCUUCAAGUUACACACUAUGAAAGGCAGCAACAAGUUUCAUAUUCAGAAACCUAAAGUAUGUAUCAGCAGCAGAAUGGAGCUAAAAAUAAACAUUUGUUUCAGUUCUAUGAAGCUUUGAGUAUUUGUGAUUAGUAGCACUGCUGUGUUUGUUGCAUCAUAUUGCUGUAAUUGUUUAUAUGCUUUAUAUAUUCUGAGGUAAGUUGAUCUAUAGUGUUACAUCAUAUUCUAUAAGGAUGUUAUGUGUUUGUAUACUUUCUGCCCAGUUUGACCCAUUUAGCAGAAGUCAGCCUGUUUAAGGCUCUGAUAUCUAUUCUGUAUGACUUAAAGCAGUUAUGACAUGGUCUGAUUUUAUCACCCAAUAAAGGAAUAUUUCAUAUAUCAGUCUGAUCUUCAUUCUAUCAGAAACAGUUAUCACAGCUCGUACAUUUGCUUUUUACACAUAUAUAUAAGCAUUGAGCCAAAUUUAGUAAUGCCAACAUACUGAAGGAACAACAUUUGUCUCUUAUAUAUAAUACAUCUAUAUAUACACUGUCAGAGAUACUUGUCUUUGAGUGAAGAUUUAAGGUGAUAGGAAAUAUAAAUAACUGCAACUUGAAUCUUUACUGAAGCUCAGUAUUUGACACAGAGUUCACUCACAUGAAUUUCACUCACAUGUGCUGUACCAGUGUACCUGCACAUGUGAUGUGACAAUAAAAGUGAUUUGAUUUUAAAAGUGAACUCCAUAGUUCUUGAUUCUAUGGAGAUUAACAGUAAUCCAGAAAUUUACAAAGUUGUCCCUGGGCCAUCGUGUUAAUGUUGUCCCUGGGACAUCAUGUUAAUGUUGUCCCUGGGACAUCGUGUUAAUGUUGUCCCUGGGACAUCGUGUAAAUGUCGUCCCUGGAACAUCAUGUUAAUGUUGUCCCUGGGCCAUCGUGUUAAUGUUGUCCCUGGGCCAUCGUGUUAAUGUUGUCCCUGGGACAUCGUGUAAAUGUUGUCCCUGGAACACCGUGUAAAUGUUGUCCCUGGAACACCGUGUAAAUGUUGUCCCUGGAACACCGUGUAAAUGUUGUCCCUGGAACACCGUGUCCCUGGGAGACCGUGUAAAUGUUGUCCCUGGGACACCGUGUAAAUGUCGUCCCUGGAACACCGUGUAAAUGUUGUCCCUGGAACACCGUGUCCCUGGGACACCGUGUAAAUGUUGUCCCUGGGACACCGUGUAAAUGUCGUCCCUGGGACAUUGUGUUAAAGUU
Molecule: long non-coding RNA, 1907 nt
Organism: Oreochromis aureus
Lineage: Eukaryota; Metazoa; Chordata; Actinopteri; Cichliformes; Cichlidae
Source: Ensembl